Molecule: non-coding RNA, 2755 nt
Organism: Cherax quadricarinatus
Lineage: Eukaryota; Metazoa; Arthropoda; Malacostraca; Decapoda; Parastacidae
Source: RefSeq, a predicted model, not a curated record
AGAACAAUAUGUGUCUGGGGAGGAUGUGACUAUGUUGGCAUCCAUGUGUAAGUUGAAAGCUGGUCGCUUGGCACGUGAGGUGACUGACUCGUGUCUUCAGAUGUGGGGAGGAAUGGGUUACACUAAUGAGGUUCUGGUGAGUCGCCUGUAUCGAGAUUUGCGGUUGUUCUCCAUUGGAGGAGGUGCAGAUGAAGUUAUGCUCAGUAUUAUUUGUAAACUUAUGGGAAUGCUUCCUCGUCCUUCAAAGAGUAGCAAAGAGUAAACACACCCCCUCACACCACCACAGCUGUACAGCAGCAGCAUUUAGUCAAAGCUAAUAUGUGUCUUGGAAUAAACUGAAUUAUUAUUUUUUUUGUGAAGCAAAAGCUUCACAAAAUUAUUAUGCCAGUAACUGAGUAAAAUUGAGUUUAAGUACUUACUGAAUGGCUGCAUUUUUGUACGUUGUUAUAAGGCAUUUGAACCAUGUGUGUAUGGUGGAUAUGUUAUAUAUCUUUAUAUAUGCUUCUAAACUGUUGUAUCUGGGUACCUCUGCAAAGACAGUUAUUAUGUAUGAGUAAGGUGAAAGUGUUGAAUGAUGAUGAAAGUAUUUUCUUUUUGGGAAUUUUCUUUCUUUUUGGGUCACCCUGCCUCGGUGGGAGAUGGCCAACUUGUUGAAAAAAAAAUAAGUGCUGAAUGAUCUCAUGGGCACUUGUAAAUCCUACAUCUUUCUUUCACUCCUAUAUACAGUGGACCCCCGCAUAACGAUCACCUCCGAAUGCCACCAAUUAUGUAAGUGUAUUUAUGUAAGUGCAUUUGUACGUGUAUGUUUGGGGGUCUGAAAUGGACUAAUCUACUUCACAAUAUUCCUUAUGGGAACAAAUUCGGUCAGUACUGGCACCUGAACAUACUUCUGGAGUGAAAAAAUAUCGUUAACCGGGGGUCCACUGUACUCUGUCAGUAUUUUAACUUUUUUUCACAUGUGCUAUUUGAAAACACCUUGCUGAAAACAUCCAAUAUCAGUUUGUUAUAUGUCUUUUAAGAUUAGGUCAUUCUAAUGAGCCAUAAUUGUCGGUUACUGCAGUAAUCACUGUCCUCAAGUCUCACUUGUAUUAUAUGCUAGAGUGAUCUUUAGGUACAGUGGACCCCCGCAUAGCGAACUUAAUCCGUGCAAGAGGGCUGGUCGUUAUGCGAAAUGUUCGCUAUGCGAAUUAAUUUUCCCCAUAAGAAAUAAUGGAAAUAAAAUUAAUCCGUGCAAGACACCCAAAAGUAUGAAAAAAAAUUUUUUUUACCACAAAAAAAUGUUAAUUUUAGUACACACAAAAUGAAAAAGGCAUGCACAAUUACAUGACACUUACUUUUAUUGAAGAUCUGGUGAUGAUUGAUGGGAUGGGAGGAGGGGAGAGAGAGUGUUAGUGUUUAGAAGGGGAAUCCCCUUCCAUUAGGACUUGAGGUAGCAAGUCCUUUUCCGGGGUUACUUCCCUUCUUCUUUUAAUGCCACUAGGACCAGCUUCAGAGUCACUGGACCUCUGUCGCACAACAAAUCUGUCCAUAGAGCUCUGUACCUCCCGUUCCUUUACGAUUUGUCUAAAAUGGGCCAUAACAUUGUCAUUGAAAUAGUCACCAGCACGGCUUGCAACAGCUGUGUCAGGUGAUUUUCAUCCAUAAAGGUUUGCAGUUCAACCCACUGUGCACACAUUUCCUUAAUUUUUGAAGUAGGCACAAUGGAUUCCACAACUGGCAUAGGCUUCUCAGGGUUAGCCCCAAACCUUUCAAAAUCUUUCUUAAUUUCCAUACUAAUUCUCACCCUUUUUACCACAGGGUUGGCACUAGAAGCUUUCUUGGGGCCAUGGUCACUUAUUUUCCAGAAACAGCACCGAAAACACUGUAAUAAUACGAAAUAUUCCGAGUGUAUGCUUGAAUGUUACCGCGGAGGCUGGCUGGUAAACAAUGGGACGGGCGGCACAUGUGAGGCUGGCUGAGGCCGCACAUUGGACGCGUCUCGGACGAAGGUCGCUGAGCGGGUUUUUGUCCACUAUGCGGGGCAAAAUUUUGGCGAACAAAGCGUUCGCUAUGCGGAUUGUUCGCUAUGCAAGGCGUUCGCUAUGCGGGGGUCCACUGUAUAUUCAUAUCUAGCUGGUAAUGUUUUUGGUAAAUCUCUUCUAAUAUGGCAAGUCUAGUCAGACUGACAUUAUAUUUGGUCACAAAAACUAAAAGUCUUAUCAGAAUAUUCCUAUUCAUGAUGACAAAUACUAAAUCUAUUCAGAAUGACUGAUUUAUACCUCAUCUUACAUACUGUAAGUAAUGAUGUUUGUAUCAAACACGCCAUUACAUUUUACUUGAAAAAGUACGUAUUUGUAUGGACAGUUUGCUAGUUAGUCUUGGUUUUAAAAUCAGAGUACUUUUAUACAUUGUUACUGUAAUAUAAGUACCACCACACUCACUAAAUUAGGAAAAUAGAUUUUUUUUUUUUAACAAGUUGGCCGUCUCCCACCGAGGCAGGGUGACCCAAAAAGAAAGAAAAUCCCCAAAAAGAAAAUAUUUUCAUCAUCAUUCAACACUUUCACCAAGUAGUGGAAACAUUUAUUGGGUAUAUCUAAAUAAUUUUUCAUGAUACUUAUGUUAAUUUUUUUAAGUAACCUUCAUGAAGUAUGUAGCAAAAAUAUUAAUGUAAUUAUAUCUUAUAAUAUUCAACAUUGUUAUUUUUAUACAUCAGAGUUUAUUUGGCUUUUCCAUAAAUAUAUGUAUUUUAAAAUAAAUAAUGUGUACAAGUUUAAAA